CCUACGAGUGGCAGCAGUGAGGAAUAUUGGUCAAUGGGCGGGAGCCUGAACCAGCCAAGCCGCGUGAGGGAAGAAGGUACAGCGUAUCGUAAACCUCUUUUGUCAGGGAACAAAGGCGGGGACUAGUCCCCGGAUGCGGGUACCUUACGAAAAAGCAUCGGCUAACUCCGUGCCAGCAGCCGCGGUAAUACGGAGGAUGCGAGCGUUAUCCGGAUUUAUUGGGUUUAAAGGGUGCGCAGGCGGCCUGUUAAGUCAGCGGUAAAAGCCCGGGGCUCAACCCCGGCGAGCCGUUGAAACUGGCGGGCUGGAGUUGGAGAGAAGUACGCGGAAUGCGCGGUGUAGCGGUGAAAUGCUUAGAUAUCGCGCAGAACCCCGAUUGCGAAGGCAGCGUACCGGCUCCACACUGACGCUGAGGCACGAAAGCGUGGGUAUCGAACAGGAUUAGAUACCCCGGUAGUC
Molecule: ribosomal RNA, 459 nt
Filed under: uncultured bacterium
Lineage: Bacteria
Description: partial 16S ribosomal RNA
Rfam family: Bacterial small subunit ribosomal RNA
Source: RNAcentral